UCUGAUCCCUAGUGGGAUCGCUAACAAGACAAGUUAGUUGGAGGGGUGCGACUCCCCCCUUGCCCAGGCCGGGGCCC
The sequence is a regulatory RNA element, 77 nucleotides long. It matches the Rfam family "Tymovirus/Pomovirus/Furovirus tRNA-like 3' UTR element". The record is from Rfam.